GGAUAAGACAGAAUCUUGCUGUGACAACUGUCACCCUAUUGAUGGCCAGUGUUGAUUUGGCUGAGCUGAUCUGGAGGAGGGUGUCACCUUUCCCCCUCACCACUUCAUGUGCACCCCUCCCAAAGCUUCAUGCUCGGUCUAAGAGGACAACCUUCCCCAAUAGAGGACUGUUCUUUAGUCAAGGGUAUAUGACUAGCUGCAUUUCCCUGCUAGAACCUCCAAACAAGCUCUAAAAUAUCAGUCAGGCAGCACCAGGUACCUUUCGAACUGAAGAGGAGGCUU
Molecule: small RNA, 282 nt
Filed under: Castor canadensis (American beaver)
Lineage: Eukaryota; Metazoa; Chordata; Mammalia; Rodentia; Castoridae
Description: 7SK RNA (ENSCCNG00000012246.1)
Rfam family: 7SK RNA
About the family: 7SK was discovered as an abundant small nuclear RNA in the mid-70s but a possible function has only recently been suggested. Two independent studies have found that 7SK RNA binds the CDK9/cyclin T complex (known as elongation factor P-TEFb). P-TEFb activates transcription by phosphorylating the C-terminal domain of RNA polymerase II.
Source: RNAcentral